Chelonoidis abingdonii (Abingdon island giant tortoise) is the source of this 458-nucleotide non-coding RNA. Lineage: Eukaryota; Metazoa; Chordata; Testudines; Testudinidae. The record is from the annotation of a RefSeq genome assembly.
CAGAACUGCCCGGGUCUGGCUGCUGGGGACAGUUUGCACCUUCACUUAAGAUGAACCUGCUACGGAUUUUCCUGUUCAUGCUAGUGGCCCCUUUAGGUGUCCUCUCCCAAGUGAAGUUGUGGGAAACAGGCCCGGGAGUGGUGAAACCCAGAGAGUCCCUGACACUCACUUGUACCAUCUCCGGAGACUCGGUUUCUAGUGACAGUGCGGCCUGGCACUGGGUCCGGCAGCCUGUGGGAAAAGGGCUGGAAUGGAUGGGACGCACAUGGUACAGGUCUGGCCAGUGGAACACUGAGUACCCCGGCUCUGUCCAGAGCCGAGUGACCAUCACACAAGACACUGCCAAGAACCAGUUCUCCCUGCAGCUGCGCGCGCUGACAGCUGCAGACACUGCCAUCUAUUACUGUGCCAGGCAGCCACAUGCACACAGCGACACAGAGCAAAGCAGGGACUGGUAA